This is a non-coding RNA of Lentinula aciculospora, 98 nucleotides long. NCBI's taxonomy places the organism in Eukaryota, Fungi, Basidiomycota, Agaricomycetes, Agaricales, Omphalotaceae. The record is from the annotation of a GenBank genome assembly.
GCUUCCUUAGCUCAGUUGGUUGAGCGCGAGUUUCAUAAAUUUGACCCUGCUUACCGGAACAAUCUUGAGUUCGCAAGUUCAAGCCUUGCAAGGGAGCA